This 352-nucleotide ribosomal RNA is filed under the name uncultured bacterium. Its description in RNAcentral is "bacterial SSU rRNA". It matches the Rfam family "Bacterial small subunit ribosomal RNA", at positions 29 to 371 of the family's 1533-position model. The record is from RNAcentral.
AAUGAACGCUGGCGGCGCGCCUAAUACAUGCAAGUCGAGCGAGAAGACGUAGCAAUACGUUUGUAAAGCGGCGAACGGGUGAGGAAUACAUGGGUAACCUACCCUCGAGUGGGGAAUAACUAGCCGAAAGGUUAGCUAAUACCGCGUACGCUCCUUAGACUUCGGUUCAGGGAGGAAAGCGAUACCGUGGGUAUCGCGCUCUUGGUUGGGCUCAUGUCCUAUCAGCUUGUUGGUGAGGAACGGCUCACCAAGGCUUCGACGGGUAGCUGGUCUGAGAGGACGACCAGCCACACCGGAACUGAGACACGGUCCGGACUCCUACGGGAGGCAGCAGUGGGGGAAUAUUGGACAA